RNAcentral lists this long non-coding RNA (2244 nucleotides) under Pongo abelii (Sumatran orangutan). Its description in RNAcentral is "lincRNA". Lineage: Eukaryota; Metazoa; Chordata; Mammalia; Primates; Hominidae. The record is from RNAcentral.
AGUACCAAAAACAACUGAGAAAGGGGCCGCAGCUCCGGCCUUCAUCUGCUAUUGCAAAUUCGGAGCAGGAUGCUGGUGGGGGGUGGGGGAGUAAAGAGAACGGGCCGUUUCUUUGUGUGUCCACUUCGUAGAAACCCAGGCAAGAGUACCCAAGCAGACCUCUGCUUAAAGCAAAAACAGACCAAAGUUGUUUUCCCCUCAAUACGGUGAUCAUCCCCAGGUUUAGCAGAGAGAAUCUAAGCAAUGACCCGUGCAAACACAGCAAGGAUACCGACAAACACUGGAGCUCAACUGUGGAGUUUUAGUCGUGGCUGAGUUUCGGUGGCCUUGCUUCAACCCCAUCGGGGUUUUGAACACCUUCGGGGGGAAGACGCGAGUCUGCUCACGUGGUGCCCAAACCAGAAAUGCCAGUGUCAUGUCCACAUUCCCGCUUCUUUGGAGAAAGGACCUGUCUCACACGUCCAGCCAGAGCUUCUGAGCUGGAGAUGAAACCCUGCGAAAGAGAAGCCCUGGUUUAUAAUCACACCAAGCUUGGGCAAGGAGGCCGGAGGAGGAUUACACAGAAGAAAACCAACCGUUCGAUGCCUUUCUUCUUCCAUUCCCAAUCAGAAGGUUGUUUCUGACCCAUUGAAAUAUUACCUACAAAGAAGACGGGAGCCUCCUGCAGCAGUCUUGAGUGAUCUGAGAGCUGAACCAAGGUUUGAGGCCCAUCUCCAGGUGGUCCUGAAUAUCCAUGCAUCCUGGGACCUUGUUAGGAUGAACUCACCAGAGGCGAGGUUCUGGGUUGCUCAAUGCAGAGACUCUUACCCAGGGUGUCAGCCUCUGAAAGAUACACGUGCCUGGGCCUCUUCCCUGAAGAUGGGCCCGGCAGUUCUGGAGGGAGGCCCCUGUGAUGAACCCUGUGAUGAGCCGCUGAUCCGAGCUUGGGCUGCGUCAUGGGACCAGCCACAAGGUUGCCUGACCUAUAAAGGUCACAGGAGUGCCUCAGGGAGACAGAAGCAGUUACAGCUGCAAGAUACCGUAUCAUCUUUGUUGGAGAGGAGCUAUAAUAGUCUAUAUUAAAGUUACUGUUCAGACAGAUGAUUCCAACAAAUUGCUUUCAUUACUUUAUUGGUAAUUUUAAGCACUACAGAACUUAGUUUUUUUUUUCUGGAAGAAAACUGGAAUUAAAAUAAUUGAUCCUUUAGAGAAAUAAAACAAAGGAGAAGGGAGUGUACAAAACAAAUAGAAAAAGAAUUCUUAGCAUACUUUCCUUUCCUGUAUUCUCACUGAGAAAUAAAAAGCAAAUGGGACAUUGAGAAGCAAAAUUAAUCCUGAUUAGGCUCGCUUUGGGACAAGCAACCACUUUGCAUGAUUACCCAUUGUUAGGUGUGAAACGGAGCCAAUGAUCUCUCAUUGUUGAGGAGAAAAGACCUGGAGACCACAGCUUAUCCAGUCUCGCUCCUGACCUGCAUCUGAACACCUGAAGGAAGAAACUUUAAGAAGAAAAAGACUUCAAGUGACAGAGGAGACAAAAGUCUCAAAGGUGCACAAUUGAAGAACUCAUGGUGUCUCAGGAUGGGUGUGAAAGUAACAAAUAUGAGAUCCCCUGACAACUAAACCCAGGCAUGUCCAGGAAUCCCAGGAUGCGGUGAAAGUUUUCACAGUGGAACUCACAGGAAUCCCCAGAUGCGGUGAAAGUUUUCUCAGCGGAGCUCACACCAGCAUUGUCUGGAAGAUUAAAUGUUGUUAUGCUUUGAGAUUGGCACUCAUGCCAUUCAUAUUUUUUUAUUAAGAAGUACAAUGAAAUUUAACUUAUUCCAUGUUUGACACCAAUGUAAUGACCAAAUUAAACUAGAUUUUCAAAAAUAAUCACAGGCCCUGCCCCACAAACUCCUCCUGGGCACAGGGAGAUGUGGGGCCAGUCAGUAGUGACUCCUCUCGGGUGCUGAUCCACCAUGCUGAAUUCAGACCGGUGCCAGUCCUCUGAGCAUCUCCCAAUUCCUAUGUGAUUUCCUGUCCCUAGUGUAUGAACAUGUUGGCCUUGAUGUGAUCCCACAAAUUAUGGGCCAUGACGCAUCUACCACUCUUGCCUAUUCUGAAGGGCUGCCUUUAGUUGUCUUGCAAAGAGCACUUAUACCUCUUCCCUACGGCUCAGGAGCCCUGGGUCUGGGGUGACAUGGCCAGAGACCUACCUGUCCUCCAGCCAUCCAAGACCAUGCUUCUGUCUGUAAGUUCCCCCAAUAAAACACCCUUUACUGACAG